UUAUCCUCGAUUUUGCUAAGCAUCAAACGAUAUUAUCUUCAAAUUUAAUCCCGGUAUUAACUUUAGUGCGCCGAUUUCGGCGUACUAAAGAUAAUCCGAGAUUAACAAAAAUUUGGCUACGUGCUUGAUUUUGAUCCUACGCACACUAGUGUAGCCAUGAAACGUCAAAGGCGAAAAGCAAAACAACACAAAACAGAGGAAGUUUUUAUUAUUUGCUCCGGUGCUGUUCUCCGUUGUUGCAACUAUUUCUCCGUUAAAAGAUGGAUCUCGAAGCACUAGAACAAUAUCAGCUGCGGCUUAGAGUUUCCCAGUCACAAAGGCCCCGGCCUUCACAAUAAGAAAGUCCCGCUGUGCCUGAACCGAAACUGAAGGUAACCAAAGUGAUGACGAUCACCCUCCGGCAGCUUGCACAGGCAUUGCCAUCUACUGGCCGUCAAGCUGAUCCGUCAACGACAGAGGCUGCCAAGAAGUACCUGCGCAUGGGCCACGAUGUGGUCGAGAAGACCAGCAACAUACACAUUCUGGCCAAGCCGAGAUUUUCUUUUUUAAUGCGUAUUCGUGGUAUCAAAGAAGUUGUCUCCAAAGGUCAACAUUGUUGCUGUUUUUCGACUGCGCCAGAUCCCGACCCGUACAUCACCUACGGAUACCCGAGGCUGGAAUCGGUCCGCCACCUGAUCUACAAGCGCGGAUUCGUGAAGCAGCCGCAUUCCGAUCACCGACAACUUUGUGCUCGAGUGUAAAUUGCAUCCCGACUACAAGAUGCAAUGCGUCGUGGAUCUGGUGUACCAGACCUACACUUCCGGGUCCCCAUUCCACAAGGGCAACAACUUCCUAUGGUCGUUCGAGCUCAACACCCCAAGCGAGGAAUGGCGCAAAAGUUGAUACCAUUAGAUGGACAAAGUUGAGAGAGAGCGAAUCAAA
Molecule: long non-coding RNA, 921 nt
Filed under: Aedes aegypti (yellow fever mosquito)
Lineage: Eukaryota; Metazoa; Arthropoda; Insecta; Diptera; Culicidae
Description: lncRNA AAEL027490
Source: RNAcentral